Molecule: ribosomal RNA, 1541 nt
Filed under: Pectobacterium brasiliense
Lineage: Bacteria; Pseudomonadati; Pseudomonadota; Gammaproteobacteria; Enterobacterales; Pectobacteriaceae
Description: bacterial SSU rRNA
Rfam family: Bacterial small subunit ribosomal RNA
Source: RNAcentral
AAAUUGAAGAGUUUGAUCAUGGCUCAGAUUGAACGCUGGCGGCAGGCCUAACACAUGCAAGUCGAGCGGUAGCACAGAAGAGCUUGCUCUUUGGGUGACGAGCGGCGGACGGGUGAGUAAUGUCUGGGAAACUGCCUGAUGGAGGGGGAUAACUACUGGAAACGGUAGCUAAUACCGCAUAACCUCGCAAGAGCAAAGAGGGGGACCUUCGGGCCUCUCGCCAUCAGAUGUGCCCAGAUGGGAUUAGCUAGUAGGUGAGGUAAUGGCUCACCUAGGCGACGAUCCCUAGCUGGUCUGAGAGGAUGACCAGCCACACUGGAACUGAGACACGGUCCAGACUCCUACGGGAGGCAGCAGUGGGGAAUAUUGCACAAUGGGCGCAAGCCUGAUGCAGCCAUGCCGCGUGUGUGAAGAAGGCCUUCGGGUUGUAAAGCACUUUCAGCGGGGAGGAAGGCGGUAAGGUUAAUAACCUUGUCGAUUGACGUUACCCGCAGAAGAAGCACCGGCUAACUCCGUGCCAGCAGCCGCGGUAAUACGGAGGGUGCAAGCGUUAAUCGGAAUGACUGGGCGUAAAGCGCACGCAGGCGGUCUGUUAAGUUGGAUGUGAAAUCCCCGGGCUUAACCUGGGAACUGCAUUCAAAACUGACAGGCUAGAGUCUUGUAGAGGGGGGUAGAAUUCCAGGUGUAGCGGUGAAAUGCGUAGAGAUCUGGAGGAAUACCGGUGGCGAAGGCGGCCCCCUGGACAAAGACUGACGCUCAGGUGCGAAAGCGUGGGGAGCAAACAGGAUUAGAUACCCUGGUAGUCCACGCUGUAAACGAUGUCGAUUUGGAGGUUGUGCCCUUGAGGCGUGGCUUCCGGAGCUAACGCGUUAAAUCGACCGCCUGGGGAGUACGGCCGCAAGGUUAAAACUCAAAUGAAUUGACGGGGGCCCGCACAAGCGGUGGAGCAUGUGGUUUAAUUCGAUGCAACGCGAAGAACCUUACCUACUCUUGACAUCCAGAGAACUUAGCAGAGAUGCUUUGGUGCCUUCGGGAACUCUGAGACAGGUGCUGCAUGGCUGUCGUCAGCUCGUGUUGUGAAAUGUUGGGUUAAGUCCCGCAACGAGCGCAACCCUUAUCCUUUGUUGCCAGCGAUUCGGUCGGGAACUCAAAGGAGACUGCCGGUGAUAAACCGGAGGAAGGUGGGGAUGACGUCAAGUCAUCAUGGCCCUUACGAGUAGGGCUACACACGUGCUACAAUGGCGUAUACAAAGAGAAGCGACCUCGCGAGAGCAAGCGGACCUCAUAAAGUACGUCGUAGUCCGGAUUGAGUCUGCAACUCGACUCCAUGAAGUCGGAAUCGCUAGUAAUCGUAGAUCAGAAUGCUACGGUGAAUACGUUCCCGGGCCUUGUACACACCGCCCGUCACACCAUGGGAGUGGGUUGCAAAAGAAGUAGGUAGCUUAACCUUCGGGAGGGCGCUUACCACUUUGUGAUUCAUGACUGGGGUGAAGUCGUAACAAGGUAACCGUAGGGGAACCUGCGGUUGGAUCACCUCCUUA